CUUCGAGUAUUUGCAGAAUUUUUAUAUAGGAUUAUUUUUCAUUUUUCUUUUAAUACCAAACUGUACAAUGCAUAGGAAUAUGUAAUUUCUAUAUAUUACGGUAGUAUACCUAUUCGAACGAUUUUGUAUUAUUUACAUGUACGGAAUAAUAAUUCCUUUGUGGAUAAAGCUUGCUCAUAGAGUUAUCGCUGCAACGCUCGAUGCGUACUACCUUUACGUGACAAAGAUACACAGUAAUGAUUGUAAAUCCCUUUGCCAAUUUCUCUUUGUUCGUCGCGCUACUUUGUUUGGUAACCGCCGCCUUGUUUCUCUAUUCGAAUUUCCCGCUGUUGCUGAAAAUUCAAAACGUACCGAAACAAAGCACGAGUUCACUGUGAUUGCUGGCUAUACACAUAUAUAAUUAUAGUAACACUAUACCUUGUUAAAAUACCUACCUCAUUAUUAUUGUAGUAUAGAUUUAUUUUCUUUUUUUUUUCUUUUUUUUUUCUUGGCUUUAUAUCCCCUAGGGGAUCAAGCGUAAGAGUUUCUCUUUGAUGUAUAAAAAUAUCUCUACUUUUAUUUCUCCUCGUAAGGUGCCUACGACCUGUUGUAAUUGCAUACAUGGAAUGCCCAUCAAUGAUCUGUCCCGUGUAUCAGCCUAUUAUCCUAAUUACACGAGACGUCAAUACGGUACUGGGUAUUGUAAAUGGGAACAAUGCCCGGCGAAGCUAAUUCUCUCGGAUCCUCGUGUGGACGACGUUAGCAGAUAUACACGGUGUAGUUUCAGCAACAUUAUCGCUGGAACAAGCGAUCCGACUAAACCAAUCAAGGAUGAUCGAACGAACGAGCUAUAAACGACGUGGGGACAAUGGAUUGUCGAAUUGAGACUUUGCUCAUGGCGCGUUGGACCCUUUGUUUUUCUUUUAAUGGAAAAGCAUACGUGACCAAAGGAAAGUGUUUUGGGACAUACGUGGAUGGACGUCGAAUGGAUGAUUUUAGAUAAUUUUUGGAGAAACCUAAAGAAAAUAUCCAGGAAUAUCUGGUUAUCGGGGUGAAACCAUAAAGGCGCGUAUGCACGUACGUGAUCGUGGGAGGCUAGGGAAACACGUAGAUUCGCAAGACGGAAGACGGAGCGGAUACGAAGUUUAUUCUGGACCGAGGAAGAUCAUAAGGCGGAGGACUGCUUUGCUGUCUGUUGAAGUCGUUCGAGAGUUGAAAGAUUUCCGUGCCAAUGACGUGGAAGGGAGACAGGCAUUUUUUUUUCGAUUUGAAUUUACAAAGUUUUCGGAUGCUUUGUCUAUGAGUGUAUACCGGUGGAAAAACGGGUAGCAGUUUCACUGGAGGAAUUUGUAGGGGUUUUCUACAUGUAUAUAUUCUUGGCUGGUGUUGGUUGACCCUGUGUCCUCCCACUUGGCCCCUUUCAUCCCUAUCAUCCUCCGUCUCCCACCUCAGUUAGCUACCCCAGAAGCGCUCUAAAGAAACUCCGGUAUAUCGAGAGACUACGCCGUACCUUACGGGCUGCGCAGGAGAGAUAGAAUAAUUUAGCAAAUAUGGGGUGUAUUUUGUAAAUUUAUUAACGUGGGGAGGGUGUGCGCGUGAGGGUGGCGGCGAGUAGGUACGUCUACGGCGGUGGAGGGAUCGUCCCAGGGGAAGGCGUCGGGGUUGGCUAGAAUGUAUGCACCUACGUAGUUACGUUUUAGGUAUAUGUAUAUACAUGAAUGCCGUUACUGGGUAGACAGAGAGUAAGAGAGAGAGAGAGAGAGAGAGAGAGAGGGGGAAAAUAGGAGAGAGUAAGGUAGCCGUCCCCGAGGGCCAAAUUUAAACGGGUCUAGAACUUUAGAACGUUCCGACGCCUCAGCGUUCCGACGCUCUUGCGUUCCACGACCUUUGAUUCGUUUUUCCUUUCCCUACAGUAGGAAUAGCGCGAAUCCAAUUGCUUCCUGGAUGUAGAAAUAGUGAGGAAUUCACAAAAAUUUUCGUGAAAAGGUUUGCCAAAUCUCCAUUUGAGUUUAUAUUCCGUAUUACGUCACCGUCCUCCAAAUUGAAUCCCGAAAAAAUUCUUGGGAGCUGCGCAAAUCAAGGUGUGAAUGAAGAUACAUGAAUAUCAGUCAAUAUUAAAUUUUUUUUUAACUCCAUCACGUUGGCAAUUAUUUAUUAGUCUAUCUUCAAGUCCAAUAAUGGUACUUGUAAUGGUAAUGGUACUUUUAUAAAAUUAUAUACUGAUUGUACAGAUCCUUACAAGAAGUCGUACACGCGUGCAGUGCAUUAUUUCAUACUCUGUGGUAAACACAAAGUAUCUCAUGGUACUAAACAUUUUAUGUAAAUACGUUACACGAUAUCCUAUAUACAAACUCUAUGCCGUUUGGAUCCCUUUAUGAAAGCUCAAUGAUCGAACCGAAACGAAACUCCGCUUAGCAUUCUCGCUGCUACCGUGAUUUUCAAUCAGCCGUUCCAACGGGUAGUGCUAGAAGUCGAAGUCGUUUACCAGAGCAAGCAGCUAGACGUAAAACGAGUCUAGACUUUGCUUGGCUUAGCAUGGUAGCCUCGUGGGACCACGUCAGUGCUACAGGCCCUUUCAAUUUCGUUCUACCAACAAGGAGGUAGAUUUUAAAAAUCAGACCUGCAGUACAUAAGCAGCAUGCAUGCAUAACCUGAAAAAUCAAUUCUGUUGAUUACAUUGGUAACAGGUUGAUUCACUUGAGAGAAAGCUUGAAAUUCAUACAAAGCUACUCGUCCAUUCAAAAACAGUUCCAGUUUCACAGGAGGAGGACACUGGUGGCUUGUGAUAAAUGCUGCCGACUUCCUGUCUGCAGGGAAUUCAGGAACACACGUUACGUUGACCGUCCUGACGGAAUCCUCUAGUGUUUUCGCUUGAGGAUUCAGCUAUAGCGUCUGCGCAUGCGCAGUGGACAUACUCUGGGGAAGGAGCUAGACUAGGACAACCUUGGCAACCAUUGGCAACUGGCGUCCUGCGUUGCAUAUGGAGUUGAUUCUGGCUACUCAGUGGAGUUAGCACACACUGUAUAUGUUGAAGGUUCUUUCGAUGAUUAGCACCCGAGUGCAAGUCCAAGUGGCACAAUUAAUUCUGUGGAUUUCAAGAUCCCACCUGUCUCUCCGGAGCUAACGAUUUGUUUGGUUCUCUUGAGUUUGGUCUUCUGCCCGAGGUUCCCCGAGAAUACCAGAGUUCCUCUUCGGUACUGGUGGAGGAAAAAGUUGUAUAAUAGAAAGUAAAAUGAAAAAAUGUAUAAAAGUUAUAGAAAAAUAGGAGGAAAAGUUGUGUGGCUAUUUUCAAAAUAACUAUUCAUUGCUGUGAUAAAAAUGUUGAAUUUUCGUUCGCGUUUGGGAACUUUGAAACUCUCUAUAGCUGUGUGCGUAUAUUAUAUGCUUAUCGUAGUUUAUUUUUAUAGAGUCGAUUAACGUUUUAUACGAAUUCAUAGAGUUCGCUUGAAUUUUCGUUACGGGGUAUAACGUCCGAUAAAAAUAUAAUCGUCUUGUGUUACAGGAUUUGGAUAUGGGAUCCGAAAAAUACGCGAGCAGUGUUACAUCGAUAUUCGCAAUGGACUGUCGUAUGCAGCAACAAAAUAUCGGUCCAUUGAGCCACAGUGUGAUUUUCCGGAAAAGUAAUUUCAGGAUUUGGCAUUCAGAUGAAUUCACCACCUAUGCCCAUAUACGUAUAGAGUGAAUAGGUAUGAAAAAAAACUAUUCCAAAAAAAAAAAAAACUAUACAGAAACUAUUGAAUCCGGCGUACGAUUCGAGAACCACGUAAGGCAAGGAAGGGCGCGGGAAAUUCGAAAGGGCGCUACGCCAAGAAGACGUGGAAAGUCGAGGUAGUAAAUUUUGGGUGAACCCUCGCGCAACACGACAAGGGGAUAGAGUAGUUACAUUAAGCUACAACCACCCUGAACAUACAUCAGCGGUCAACCCUAACCUGCAUCUUGCCCGGGUGAAUUCUUCCUAAUUCCUAGACGGCGCUCUGGACUAUCUUACAGGACUAUAGAUUGAAGGAACCAAGGGAUUGCAUCAUGAGUUUCCUGCAGCUUUGCCAUACCACCAUGCUACGACUGCGCCACGAGUAGGGUGCGGAGAGUAUCCUAAGUUCUGGCUGAAAAAGAAAAUGAGGCUCCUCGUCGACGGCACGUGGAACAAGGUGGAAGGGUUAAGGAGCUAAAGGGAUGAAGUCAUAACGUAGGCCCAUUUCUGUUUUUGUGCCUCGGCUAGGAGCAUUCUGGUGGUUGUCGAGGGGAAUGAAACGAGGCAAUGCGGAAGCGUCGCGGCGCCUUGGUGUCUACUGAGUCGCGUGAGACGCCACCGAGCCUGCCCUACGUAUAACACACUCGUUUAGCUUACUUCUGGGUUGGAUCUAUGAGAGUUCGAGACGAUCCUGUGGUUCAGAGGUCAACCUUCGAGGUCUUACCUUCAGGGCGAAUUACCAGGAUCCAGCGAUGCCAUAGCUUCGCCGGGAACGACGAGGGUCACGGUCUACGUGGGAGGGUAGUUUUAUGGCGGGAAAGAGCACGUGGCGCCGCCACUUACCUCUCACGGCGAAAGCCUCGAGCGUCCUUGUUUCUACGCAAGAGUAAAUCCUGAAGCUAUGGCUGUGUGACGCUUUGAUGAAUUCCCUGGAAAGUUACGCCACUGUCGGAGCACCGAGUUAGAUUUAAUCGCGUGUUAAUCGUACGGGAGCAGAGACCAGUGGAAUAGAGUCUUGGCAGCGGUGUGAAUUUUCAUUUGAAAAAUAAGUCCAUAAGCAUUGGCGUAGUUUCUGGGUGUGGAUAAGAAAAAUGAGAAUUUCAUGUAAAAGUAUUGUUAUUAUUUUACUCUGCCCGGUCAAAAGACACGGUGGUAUCUGUUGUUCAGAACGGCACGGGUGAUCUUGUAGAUUGUUAGGUCUUCAAGUGAAAUUGGACUAUAAGGAACCAUUGCCAAAACGGAUAUACGUAAAUGUCCUAAACAAGACUCGUUAACCACUUCUAAUAGGGUAACUUGCUAAAUAUCGGUCUUUGGUUAAGGGGUCAUCCAGUGAUAUCUAAAUCGUCUCAUUUCGGGUGGCUUUCAUAUUACCUUCGUCACCAAGAUCAAAUUAAACCUCACGGAGCGAGUAGAUGUAUUUGUUAAAGAUACGAGUAAGGGUUUUCUUUUUAAGGGCACUUAUUAAGUUUUGACUCAUUAGCACGUGGCUCGGACGAAUUUACUAAUUACCAUUAGGUUUCUCAAGAUAAAAGUCAAUGGACGGUGUCAGUGUUUCAAUGGAUGAUUAAUCAGGGUGGGUCGGGGGUGCUUUUGGCGAAGGGAAAAAAAUGUUAAAUAUAAAAUUUUACUAGUCGAGCCUGUAGGCGUCAUCGGAACUACGUGACGCCAUGACGGUAUGACGUAAGAGGGAAAACUUCGAGAACAUUCGAGUUAGUUCUGGGGCAAAUGGUUCGCCAAGAAUUACCCAACCCCUGUUCUGGUUUCCGCUCGAAAAAAAAAGAUGGCUCGUUUUUCCCUCCCUUCGCCGAGGGCUUAAUUAGUUCAAUCAAAUUAUGAAUAUUUAAUUCGGCCUGUCGUUAUUCCGCUCGUCCCGGCCCUUCUUUGCGAAAAGAUAAUUGGCCCGCAGCGGAAUUAGUUUUCAGCAGCGGUCGGGGCCACUGCUCGAUACGAUGUGAAUGCGGAAGGAGGCUUGCUGAAAGUUUACGUCGACGUAGCAGAAAUCCUGACGUCACGUCAAAGCAAGGGAACACCGAAAGUAGGCUUUAAAGAUUUGUAAAAAAAAAUUAUACUACCCCUAAUAAAAACCGUACUCUUGAAAUCGGCGUG
Cephus cinctus (wheat stem sawfly) is the source of this 5776-nucleotide long non-coding RNA. RefSeq lists it as uncharacterized. The transcript is spliced from 7 exons. The record is from RefSeq and is a predicted model, not a curated record. NCBI's taxonomy places the organism in Eukaryota, Metazoa, Arthropoda, Insecta, Hymenoptera, Cephidae.